Molecule: non-coding RNA, 100 nt
Organism: Sphaerobolus stellatus SS14
Lineage: Eukaryota; Fungi; Basidiomycota; Agaricomycetes; Geastrales; Sphaerobolaceae
Source: the annotation of a GenBank genome assembly
GGCUUGAUGGUCUAGUAGUAUGAUACUCCCUUCGGGUUUUCCCGGUUACCUAUGUAACCACGAUUGGGAGUGGUCCCGGGUUCAAUUCCCGGUCAGGCCC